AUGGGGAUCUGGACCUUGACCCUUCCCAUCCAAAACCUCAUCCAUCUACUUAGGAGGAAGGUAAAGCAAUCCUGCAGACAGGGGAGACAGAUGAGAAGUGAGUUUGGAGGCACAGGCUCAGCGUGGAAGCUCCUGGUAUCCCCAGAGUGCGCUGGGACAACCAUGAAGAGAACACCAUCCUGCAAGAGCUCCCAGCUCACCAGAGCACGCCCUGCUCUCCAGCUGCUUGAAUUGCCUUUGGCCAUGGGUGGUGGAUGUAUAGAAAAAUACAGCUCAGUCUUUUCCCAGGAUACACAGUUUUGUAGGCUUGGAGGGUCUUGGGAUGCUCUGAUCUGAGCUCCUCAUAAAACUGUAGGAAAUAUCUUUCCUUCUGUAGAUGCAGAAUGGCAUAACCCAGAGAAUGACGUGGUGCUUUGGGUGAAAUAUUUUCCACCUGAUGUCCGGACAGAGGAAAUUCAUCACAUAAUUCCAUCCAUCCUGAUACACAUAAGUAGCUGAUAAUCAAAAUAUGUAUCUAUUGCAAAUGACAAAUUAAGCAUCUUCACUGAAACGUGCACAUGGGCCCGUGUUUCCCUGCACCACCACAUCUCCAUCCCCUCCCAAUCUCCUUGGCUAUCCUUUCUACACCUGCAGGCCACUAAGGGGGGCUGGCACCCAACUGAUGUGUUUUCCCAGACACUUGUGACCUCCAGACCCAUCCAAAGUUUUUCCAGCACGGUCUCCUCCUCGCUGGAUCUCCACUCAGUUCAUCUCAGCUUUCUGUGACCCGUCAAGACUCAGAACGGUGCACAAAUAUUGAUUGAUGUAGACAAUAUUUAUAUCAUAUAUAUAUAUAAUAUACAACUGACCCCAGCGGUAUGUAUCUAUCUGUGUGUGUAUAUCUUACUGUACGUAGAGAGCUGCCUUACAGACGUCUGUCUCUCUUAGAUAUCAGAAUUAUUUAUCCGAGAUAAAUAUCAUUGUUACUGAUGGGAGCAGCGAGCGCCGCCCAUCCCGCGCAGCGGUCCCGGUGCCGCCUGUCUCUCCGACAGUGGGUGGCACUGUGCAAUCAAAAUAGCUUUGCUUUCCCUUUAUUCCACUGCCUUCAUCUUCC
RNAcentral lists this long non-coding RNA (1093 nucleotides) under Parus major (Great Tit). RNAcentral describes it as "lncRNA (ENSPMJG00000002156.1)". Lineage: Eukaryota; Metazoa; Chordata; Aves; Passeriformes; Paridae. The record is from RNAcentral.